CAUUGUGACCCCCACUCCUGCCCGCCAGACAACAACCCCGUUUGACUGUAAUUUUCGUUUACCUACCCAAAUCUUAUAAAACAGCCCCACCCCUAUCUCCCUUCACUGACUCUCUUUUCAGACUCAGCCCACCUGCACCCAGGUGAAAUAAACAGCUUUAUUGCUCACACAAAGCCUGUUUGGUGGUCUCUUCACACGGACGCGCAUGAAAUUUGGUACCGUGACUUGGAUCGGGGGACCUCCCUUGGGAGAUCAAUACCCAGUCCUCCUGCUCUUUGCUCUGUGAGAAAGAUCCCCCUACGACCUCAGGUCCUCAGACCAACCAGCCCAAGAAACAUCUCGCCAAUUUCAAAUCCGGUAAGUGGCCUCUUUUUACUCUGUUCUCCAACCUCCCUCACUAUGCCUCAGCCUCUUUCUCCUUUCAAUCUUGGCACCACACUUCAAUCUCUCCCUUCUUUUAAUUUCAAUUCCCUUUAUUUUCUGGUAGAGACAAAGGAGACAUGUUUUAUCUGUGGACCCAAAACUCCGGCCCCGGUCAUGGACUGCAAAGGCAGCCUUCCCUUGGUGUUUAAUCAUUGCAGGGACCCCUCUGAUUAUUCACCCAGGUUUCAGAGGUGUCAGACCACGCAGGGAUGCCUGCCUUCGUCAUUCAGCCUUAGCGGCAAGUCCUGCUUUUCUGGGGUAGGGUCAAGUACCCCAACACCUUCUCUCCAUGUCUCUACCCCUUCUCUGCCUUUCUGAGGGGCAAGAAACCACAAACCCCUUCUCCUUCACCCUGAGCGGCAAGUCCCGCUUUUCUGGGGGAGGGACAAGUACCCCAACCUCCUAUCUCUGUGCCCUGAUCCCUUAUUUCCACUCCCCGACAUCUUAUAUCUCUGAGCCCCGAUCUCCUAUUUCCACAGCCCAACCUCUUAUAUCUCUGCGCCCCGAUCCCGUUUCUGCGCCCCGACCUCUUAUAUCUCUGCACCCUGAUCCCUUAUUUCUGCACCCCAACCUCUUAUAUCUCUGCACCCCGAUCCCUUAUUUCCGUGCCCCAUCUUAUAUCUCUGCACCCCAUCCCUUAUUUCUGCUCCCCAACCUCUUAUAUCUCUGCACCCUGAUCCCUUAUUUCCACACCUCAACCUCGUAUCUCUGCGCCCCGACCCCUUCUCUGCUUUUCUGGAGGGCAAGAACCCCCCACCCCUUCUCCAUGUCUCUACUCUCUUUUCUCUGGGCUUGCCUCCUUCACUAUGAGCAAGCUUCCACCUUCCAUUCCUCCUUCUUCUCCCUAGCCUGUGUUCUAAGAACUUAAAAACCUCUUCAACUCUCACCUGAUCUAAAAUCUAAGCAUCUUAUUUUCUUCUGCAAUGCCACUUGACUCCAAUACAAACUGGACAGUAGUUCCAAAUAGCUGGAAAACGGCACUUUCAAUUUUUCCAUCCUGCAAGAUCUAAAUAAUUCUUGUCAUAAAAUAGGCAAAUGGUCUGAGGUGCCUGACAUCCAGGCAUUCUUUUACACAUCGGUCCCUCUCUAGUCUCUCUUCCCAAGGCAACUCAUCCCAAAUCCUCCUUCUUUCCCUCCCGCCUGUCCCCUCAGUCCCAACCCCAAGUGUCACUGAGUCUUUCUAAUCUUCCUUUUCUACAGAUCCAUCUGACGUCUCCCCUCCUCCCCAGGCUGCUUCUUGCCAGGCCAAGCUAGGUCCCAAUUCUUCCUCAGCCUCGGCUCCUCCACCCUAUAAUCCUUUUAUCACCUCCCCUCCUCACACCUGGUCUGGUUUACAGUUUCAUUCCAUGACUAACCCUCCCCCACUUGCCCAGCAAUUUACCCUUAAAAAGCUGGCUGGAGCUAAAGGCAUAAUCAAGGUUAAUGUUCCUUUUUCUUUAUCCCAAAUCAGAUAGCGUUUAGGCUCUUUUUCAUCAAAUAUAAAAAUCCAGCCCAGUUCAUGACUCGUUUGACAGCAACCCUGAGACGCUUUACAGCCCUAGACCCUAAAAGGUCAAAAGGCCGUCUUAUUCACAAAAUACAAUUUAUUACCCAAUCUGCUCCCGACAUUAAAUAAAACAAAAAUUAAAUUCCGGCCCUCAAACCCCAGAACAGGAUUUAAUUAACCUUGCCUUCAAGGUGUACAAUAAUAGAAAAAAGUUGCAAUUCCUUGCCUCCACUGUGAGACAAACCCCAGCCACAUCUCCAGCACACAAGAACUUCCAAACGCCUGAACCGCAGCAGCCAGGCAUUCCUCCAGAACCUCCCCCCCCAGGAGCUUGCUACAAGUGCCAGAAAUCUGGCCACCAGGCCAAGGAAUGCCUGCAGCCUGGGAUUCCUCCUAAGCCAUGUCCCAUCUGUGCAGGACCCCACUGGAAAUCGCACUGUCCAACUCACCUGGCAGCCAGUCCCAGAGCCCCUGGAACUCUGGCCCAAGGCUCUCUGACUCCUUCCCAGAUCUUCUUGGCUUAGUGGCUGAAGACUGACGCUGCCCAAUAGCCUCAGAAGCCCCCUAGACCAUCACGGAUGCCGAGCUUCAGAUAACUCUCACAGUAGAAGAUUCAGCCCAUCUGCACCCAGGUGAAAUAAACAGCUUUAUUGAUCACACAAA
This is a long non-coding RNA of Homo sapiens (human), 2572 nucleotides long. RefSeq lists it as uncharacterized. Lineage: Eukaryota; Metazoa; Chordata; Mammalia; Primates; Hominidae. The transcript is spliced from 2 exons. The record is from RefSeq and is a predicted model, not a curated record.